This is a small nucleolar RNA of 69 nucleotides. Its record names the gene SNORD82. It matches the Rfam family "Small nucleolar RNA SNORD82". From Rfam's summary of the family: snoRNA U82 or Z25 is found in both humans and mice. U82/Z25 is a member of the C/D class of snoRNA which contain C (UGAUGA) and D (CUGA) box motifs. Most of the members of the box C/D family function in directing site-specific 2'-O-methylation of substrate RNAs. The record is from Ensembl.
UAAAGGAAUGAUGAUCAUUAAGGGACUUAAUACUGAUGUAUGAUGUCACUUUUGCAGUUUCUGACCUUA